Molecule: ribosomal RNA, 506 nt
Filed under: uncultured bacterium
Lineage: Bacteria
Description: partial 16S ribosomal RNA
Rfam family: Bacterial small subunit ribosomal RNA
Source: RNAcentral
AUUGAACGCUGGCGGCAGGCCUAACACAUGCAAGUCGAGCGGCAGCGGAAAGUAGCUUGCUACUCUGCCGGCGAGCGGCGGACGGGUGAGUAAUGUCUGGGAAACUGCCUGAUGGAGGGGGAUAACUACUGGAAACGGUAGCUAAUACCGCAUAACGUCGCAAGACCAAAGAGGGGGACCUUCGGGCCUCUUGCCAUCAGAUGUGCCCAGAUGGGAUUAGCUAGUAGGUGGGGUAAUGGCUCACCUAGGCGACGAGCCCUAGCUGGGCUGAGAGGAUGACCAGCCACACUGGAACUGAGACACGGUCCAGACUCCUACGGGAGGCAGCAGUGGGGAAUAUUGCACAAUGGGCGCAAGCCUGAUGCAGCCAUGCCGCGUGUAUGAAGAAGGCCUUCGGGUUGUAAAGUACUUUCAGCGGGGAGGAAGGUGUUGAGGUUAAUAACCUCAGCAAUUGACGUUACCCGCAGAAGAAGCACCGGCUAACUCCGUGCCAGCCGCCGCCGUAA